This is a non-coding RNA of Vicia faba (fava bean), 258 nucleotides long. NCBI's taxonomy places the organism in Eukaryota, Viridiplantae, Streptophyta, Magnoliopsida, Fabales, Fabaceae. The record is from the annotation of a GenBank genome assembly.
AUGAAAAUUAAACCUGAGGUUACGGAAAUCAUCGAUGGUGUAUAUGGCGGCGGGCGUUUGCGGAGGUGUCGUGGAAGUCGCAGCCGGAUCGGAGACGUUGUGGCAGGUGCAUCGCUGGUUGAUCGGCCGACAGUGGGAUUCCGGUUUUGCGGAGUGGAUCUGGAUGGUGCUGAGUUGUGCGAGAGCGACUGCACUUUGUUGCUCGACGGCGGUGUUGUGACGGAGGGUGUUCCCUUCGUGCAGUUGGGGCGAGCCUGA